UCCAGAUAUCAUACCACGUUGAAUACUCCGGUUCUCGUCCGAUCACCGAAGUUAAGCAGCGUCAGGCACGGUUA
This 74-nucleotide ribosomal RNA is filed under the name Staphylococcus aureus. Lineage: Bacteria; Bacillati; Bacillota; Bacilli; Caryophanales; Staphylococcaceae. The record is from RNAcentral.